UGGGAGAAUUGUGAACUAUGCACCCUCUGCAGAUGGGCAAACGAGAUGUCCGCACACUUCUUCCAUCGGUGCAGGUUCACCUUGCGCGUUUGGAGAUUGGUAAAGGUGUGGCUUGACCUAGGGGCUUUGGAGAUCCACCAAUGGCCAGCAGAGCGUAGUAUCAAGCAUUGGUGGACAAACAUGUCGAAACCCAACACGGUGAACCGGAAAGCAAUGGCUUCCCUUACUAUGCUUGUCGGUUGGGUUAUUUGGAACGAGACAAAUGCUAGAGUCUUCAGAAAGAAAUCAACUACGCCCUUCUACAUCCUCAAACUAAUACAAGAUGAAGCCAAACUUUGGUUCACGGCAGGAGCUAGGCACCUGAGCAUCAUCAUGCUGUGA
RNAcentral lists this ribosomal RNA (381 nucleotides) under Triticum aestivum (bread wheat). Its description in RNAcentral is "partial small subunit ribosomal RNA". The record is from RNAcentral. Lineage: Eukaryota; Viridiplantae; Streptophyta; Magnoliopsida; Poales; Poaceae.